Molecule: small RNA, 28 nt
Filed under: Bombyx mori (domestic silkworm)
Lineage: Eukaryota; Metazoa; Arthropoda; Insecta; Lepidoptera; Bombycidae
Description: ovarian small RNA-10765
Source: RNAcentral
AAUAUUCGAUCCGGAGCCAUCAAAUGAA